UUAAACGGCCGCGGUAUUUUGACCGUGCAAAGGUAGCGCAAUCACUCGUCCUCUAAAUAGGGACCUGUAUGAAUGGCUAAACGAGGGCUAAACUGUCUCCUUUUUUCAGUCAGUGAAAUUGAUCCACCCGUGCAGAAGCGGGCAUAAGUAUACAAGACGAGAAGACCCUAUGGAGCUUUAGGCAAAGCCUCUAAUUAUGUCAAACAAGUACAAAUAAGUACAAGAACUCAAUAAGAACUAGAGACUUGCCUUCGGUUGGGGCGACCAAGGAGAACAAAAUAUCCUCCUAGUGGACUAGGAAAAUCCUAGAACUAAGAAAAAUUCUUCUAAGGCACAGAAUAUCUGACCAAACAUGAUCCGGCCAAGGCCGAUCAACGGACCUAGUUACCCUAGGGAUAACAGCGCAAUCCUCUUCAAGAGUCCCUAUCGACAAGGGGGUUUACGACCUCGAUGUUGGAUCAGG
RNAcentral lists this ribosomal RNA (463 nucleotides) under Danionella dracula. RNAcentral's name for it is "partial 16S ribosomal RNA". It matches the Rfam family "Bacterial large subunit ribosomal RNA", at positions 1923 to 2541 of the family's 2925-position model. The record is from RNAcentral. Lineage: Eukaryota; Metazoa; Chordata; Actinopteri; Cypriniformes; Danionidae.